RNAcentral lists this ribosomal RNA (450 nucleotides) under uncultured bacterium. Its description in RNAcentral is "partial 16S ribosomal RNA". It matches the Rfam family "Bacterial small subunit ribosomal RNA", at positions 338 to 795 of the family's 1533-position model. The record is from RNAcentral.
CCUACGGGUGGCUGCAGUAAGGAAUAUUGGUCAAUGGAGGAAACUCUGAACCAGCCAUCCCGCGUGAAGGAUGAAGGGGCUCUGCCUUGUAAACUUCUUUUGUCUGGGGCGAAAAAGCUCGAUUUAUCGAGAACUGACGGUACCAGAAGAAUAAGCACCGGCGAACUCCGUGCCAGCAGCCGCGGUAAUCCGGAGGGUGCAAGCGUUAUCCGGGAUCACUGGGUUGAAAGGGUCCGUAGGAGGCUUGGUUGAAGGGCUGUGGCUUAACCAUGGAAUUGCCAUUGAUACUGCAGAGCUUGAAUGAGGUUGAGGUUGGCGGAAUGUGACAUGUAGCGGUGAAAUGCUUAGAUAUGUCAUGGAACACCGAUUGCGAAGGCAGCUGACUGGACCUAUAUUGACGCUGAGGCACGAAAGCGUGGGGAGCGAACAGGAUUAGAUACCCCGGUAGUC